Molecule: ribosomal RNA, 265 nt
Filed under: uncultured archaeon
Lineage: Archaea
Description: partial 16S ribosomal RNA
Rfam family: Archaeal small subunit ribosomal RNA
Source: RNAcentral
ACACGACUACAUUAGAUACCCGCGUAGUCCCAGCCCUAAACGAUGCGCGUUAGGUGUAUCGGUGACCACGAGUCACCGAGGUGCCGAAGGGAAACCGUGAAACGUGCCGCCUGGGAAGUACGGUCGCAAGGUUGAAACUUAAAGGAAUUGGCGGGGGAGCACAACAACGGGUGGAGCUUGCGGUUUAAUUGGAUUCAACGCCGGAAAUCUUACCGGGACCGACAGCAACAUGAAGGCCAAGCUGAAGACUUUGCCGGAUUAGCUG